GACGAACGUUGGCGGCGUGCUUAAUACAUGCAAGUCAACUGAAGCAGUGGUAGCAAUAUCGCUGUGGAGGUGGCGCACGGGUGAGUAACACGUAGGUAAUCUGCCUUCAGGUCUGGCAUAACUCCGGGAAACCGGGGCUAAUAGCAGAUGAUGCAGCGGCUCGACAUCGAGACAGUUGUUAAAGCUAUGGCGCCUGAAGAUGAGCCUGCGUCUGAUUAGCUAGUUGGCGGGGUAACGGCCCACCAAGGCAACGAUCAGUAGCUGGUCUGAGAGGAUGAUCAGCCACACUGGAACUGAGACACGGUCCAGACUCCUACGGGAGGCAGCAGUAAGGAAUAUUGCUCAAUGGGAGAAAUCCUGAAGCAGCAACGCCGCGUGAGGGACGAAGGGCUUUUGCUUGUAAACCUCUGUAGUGAGAGAAAAAAAUCCCAAUCUUUGGGACAUGAUGGUAUCUCAAAAGUAAGCCCCGGCUAACUACGUGC
RNAcentral lists this ribosomal RNA (482 nucleotides) under uncultured bacterium. Its description in RNAcentral is "partial 16S ribosomal RNA". It matches the Rfam family "Bacterial small subunit ribosomal RNA", at positions 28 to 508 of the family's 1533-position model. The record is from RNAcentral.